UAAAAUUAAAAAAUUUGGCGGUAUUUUAGUCUUUUCAGAGGAACCUGUUCUAUAAUUGAUAGUCCACGAUUAAUUAUACUUAUUUUAUAAAUUUAUAUAUCGUCGUAGUUUGAAUGUUUUAAAAGAAUUGUAAAUGUUCAAGAUUUAAAAUAAUAAAUUAAAUCAGAUCAAGGUGUAGUUUAUAAAUAAGAAGAAAUGGGUUACAUAUAAUAAAUUAUUGGAUAAAUUUAUGAAAGUAAAUUUUGAAAUUGGAUUUGAAAGUAAUUUUAAAAAUAUUUUUAUUAUGAUUUAAGCUCUAAAAUAUGUACAUAUUGCCCGUCGCUUUCGUUUUAAGAUGAGAUAAGUCGUAACAAAGUAGAUUUACUGGAAAGUGAAUCUAGAAGA
This 384-nucleotide ribosomal RNA is filed under the name Neoscrobiger rauciceps. RNAcentral's name for it is "partial 12S ribosomal RNA". The record is from RNAcentral. Lineage: Eukaryota; Metazoa; Arthropoda; Insecta; Coleoptera; Cleridae.